Molecule: ribosomal RNA, 410 nt
Filed under: uncultured Methylomirabilota bacterium
Lineage: Bacteria; Methylomirabilota (SeqCode)
Description: bacterial SSU rRNA
Rfam family: Bacterial small subunit ribosomal RNA
Source: RNAcentral
AACGUGGAGACAGGUGGUGCAUGGCUGUCGUCAGCUCGUGUCGUGAGAUGUUGGGUUAAGUCCCGCAACGAGCGCAACCCUCACCCCUUGUUGCCAUCAGGUCACGCUGGGCACUCUAGGGGAACUGCCCCGGUCAACGGGGAGGAAGGUGGGGACGACGUCAAGUCAUCAUGCCCCUUACGCCCUGGGCUACACACGUGCUACAAUGGCCGGUACAAAGGGAUGCAAGACCGUGAGGUGGAGCUAAACCCAAAAAGCCGGUCUAAGUUCAGAUUGGAGUCUGCAACUCGACUCCAUGAAGGAGGAAUCGCUAGUAAUCGCGCAUCAGCACGGCGCGGUGAAUACGUUCCCGGGCCUUGUACACACCGCCCGUCACACCACGAAAGCCUGCUGUACUCGAAGUCGCUGAG